RNAcentral lists this unclassified non-coding RNA (151 nucleotides) under soil metagenome. RNAcentral's name for it is "partial internal transcribed spacer 1". The record is from RNAcentral.
GUGAGUAUGGCCCUCACGGGUCUAAUCCACCAUAAACACCUUUGUGAACCAGUCAGGGGGACUCGGCCGUGAAAGCCCAGGCGAUUAGCGGAAGGGCCCUCCUUUGCAAACCCGUUUAGAAGUCUUGAAAGUACUUUUGUAUAAUCUAGUA